RNA transcript from Capra hircus (goat), 2828 nucleotides. It is a transcript of the gene named scavenger receptor cysteine-rich domain-containing protein SCART1-like, with no coding region annotated. Lineage: Eukaryota; Metazoa; Chordata; Mammalia; Artiodactyla; Bovidae. The record is from RefSeq and is a predicted model, not a curated record. The transcript is spliced from 8 exons.
GCGUCCAUGGUCUGCAGGCAGCUGGGCUGCGGCCGGGCCGUGGGCGCCCCCAAGUACGUCCCGCUGCCCGGAGAGGCGGUGCAGCCCUGGCUCCACAACGUGUCCUGCCGGGGAGACGAAGCCUCCCUCUGGGGGUGCGGCCUGGGGGCCUGGACGAAGAGCAAGUGCCCCUAUGAGUGGGUGGUGGUGGCUCUAUGUUCCAGUAAGUCAUGGGUCGGGGUGUGGGGGAGGAGGGGCCCAGAGCAUCUGAGACAGGCCGGCUCGCAGCUCUCCCUGCCUCCUGUGUCAGCAGUCCCAGUGAUUUGCUUAACAAACCCCUUUACAAGGCAGCGGCAGUGUUCUGGGUGCUGGGGAGGCAGCCACGAGUAAACUGUACGAAAUUGGCUGCGCAGAGCCUGCUGUCCAGGGAGAGGCCGAGAGGGAACGCAAGGGCAGGUAGAAGAGCAGUGAGGGGGCGGAUGCGCAGGCAGGGGUGGGGGCGACACGCGAGGGGGCCCCACGGACCGUGCAGGCGUCUUGUCACCUUCGCCAGCUCAAACGUUCUCCCUGGAGGUCUGUGUGGAGGGUCUGGGGCUGUGUCCGGCCCUUCACGUCCUGUCUGAGUUGACCCACAGGGUGGUUUGUGGGGCCCAGAGCAAAGCGAGAACACAGGCUUCUGUGUUGCAAAAUCAACGAGGGUGUCCAGAGAUCGUUGAGCCAGGAGGGCCUCUGAGCGGCUCUGCGCUGGCCCCUCAGUGAGGCCCAGGGCUGGCCUGCCCCGGGCAGGGCCCUACUGGGGGUGGCUGUCGCCGAGGCCGGAGGUUGCGCGGCCAGCAGGUACUGCACGCCACGCCCUGUGUGCUUUGCAGACGGCACUUUCCGGGAGGUACGGCUGGUGAAGGGCCGGAGCCCCUGCGCAGGGCUCCCUGAGAUCAGGAAUGUGAACGGGGUGGACCGCCUCUGUGGCCUGCACCGGGAGGAGGCCACGGUGUUCUGCCAGGAGCUGGGGUGAGGCCCUGCCCUGCAGGUCCCCCGCCAAGAUGGCAGUGUCACCAGGAAGUACAUGACCUGUAGGGGCGACGAGCUGACCAUCCGGAACUGCAGACUGAACAAGUUCCGCAGCGGCUGCGACUUCCAGCGAGAUGCCCAGGUGGUCUGCUCAGGGCACACGGAGGCCCGGCUGGCGGGUGGCGGGCACUCCUGUGCUGGGCGCCUGGAGGUGAGGCGUGGCCUGACCUGGGGCACCGUCUGUGACGCUGACCUGGACCUGGCCACUGCCCACGUGGUGUGCCGGGAGCUGCAGUGUGGUGUGGCCGUGUCCACACCCCAGGGCGCCCACUUUGGCCAGGGCUCGGGGCUCGUGUGGACCGAGGCCUUCCGCGGGCAACGAGUCCCUGCUGUUCCACUGCCCUCGAGGGCCGGGGCUCCGGUGUGGGCACGACCAGGAUGCGGGGCUCAGGUGCUCAGGUGAGUUCCGGCUGGUCAACGGCAGCAGUGCCUGUGAGGGGCGCGUGGAGCUCCAGGUCCAGGGGCCCUGGGCGCCCCUCUGCGCCGCCCACUGGGACUUGGCAGACGCCACGGUCCUCUGCCACCAGCUCGACUGUGGGAGCGCGGUGGCCGCACCCCCGGGGGGUCACUUUGGCGGCGGGGCCUCCGCGCUCUGGCGGGACGAGGUGCACUGCGUGGGGACGGAGCCGUACCUGUGGAACUGCGCCCUGAGCGCCCUGGGGGCGCCCGCCUGUGGCCCCGGCGAUGCGGCCGCCGCCGUCUGCUCAGGUCUCCCCACCGCCCUGCGGCUGAGGGACGGACAGAGCCGCUGCGACGGCCGCGUGGAGGUGUCCCUGGACGAGGCCUGGGGCCUGCGCGGCGCGGCCGUCGUGUGCAGGCAGCUGGGCUGCGGAGCAGUGGAGCGAGCCUAGGAGGCGGCGGCGCCCGCGCGCGGGGCGGUGCCGCUGGGGCUGAGCCACGUGCGCUGUGCGGGCACCGAGCCCCGCCUGACGCGGUGCAGCGUGUCGGCGGCCCUGCUGGUGUCCGCGAGGGCGUCGCGGGACGCGGGCGUCGUGUGCUAGGGCAGCUUCCAGGUGCGCCUGGCCGCGGGGCCGGGCCGCUGUGCGGGGCGCGUGGAGCUGCUGCACGCGGGCGAGUGGGGCACCGUGUGUGACGACUCCUGGGACCUGGCGGACGCCGAGGUCGUGUGCCGGCAGCUGGGGUGCGGCCGGGCUGUGGACGCCCUGGCGGGGGCCGCCUUCGGACCAGGCUCAGGGCCUGUGUGGCUGGAUGAGGUGGGGUGCUGGGGCAGCGAGGCCUCGCUGUGGGGCUGCCCGGCGGAGCCAUGGGGCCACGGAGACUGCGGGCACAAGGAGGACGCGGGUGUGCGCUGUGCGGGUGACAGAGAAGCCGUCACCCUACGUUCAGCAUCGGGCAGUCCUCUGGUCCUGGCGCCUGCCCUCGAGGCUGGGACUCUGCCCAUGACCUUCAGCCUGGCCCUCGGCACCCUGCUGGUCGUCAUCUCACUGGUCCUAGGGGCGCAGUGGUUCCGGGGCAGAAGCGCCUGCAGGGGUUCUGGAAUGUCGGGGAGUCUGCCCUCUGAAGGCGUUUAUGAGGACAUUGGAGCUGCUGCUGCGGGGGAGGAGGACGAGGCUGCUGGACCGUCCGCGGCGCCGGAGGAGGAGGAUGACGACGCGGCGGAGCCCGAGCCCGAGGAGGGCGCAGCGGAGGAGGGCGCCCCCCUGAGCGCCGCGGGUGUGCAGCUCUGCGUCGUGGCGUCCGUGGCGCUGUUCCUGCGCUACUGCUGCUGCGCCCCGGGCGCCGCCCCCGCCAGCCCCUACAUCUGAGAGCCGGAGAGCUCC